AAAUCUUUAAUCUUUCAAACAAAAUAAGGAAAGACACAAAAAGGUGUUUAAAAUUAGUCCUUUUAGAUUUCUGAAGAAGAAAUGGCAGUACCAAGAUUGAGACAAGUAAGAUUAGGGUUAGUAGCUGCUUGUCAUCAACUGCCAACAAACAGUCAGCUAUCUAAUCAUCACCAUAUGUAUUUAAUACCACUCUUUUUUAAAGCAUUUUAAAGUUCACUACUCUCUUCUCAGCUUAUUUUCUCUCCUGAUCACUUCACUGCACUCACAUGAAACUGGGAGCUUAAUUAAGUGUUCUUCUUUUUCUGGGUUCCUCUCUUUCUCNNN
RNAcentral lists this long non-coding RNA (324 nucleotides) under Ricinus communis (castor bean). RNAcentral's name for it is "long non-coding RNA (RCOM_LNC002995)". Lineage: Eukaryota; Viridiplantae; Streptophyta; Magnoliopsida; Malpighiales; Euphorbiaceae. The record is from RNAcentral.